RNAcentral lists this transfer RNA (72 nucleotides) under Kibdelosporangium aridum. It matches the Rfam family "tRNA". Rfam says of the family: Transfer RNA (tRNA) molecules are approximately 80 nucleotides in length. Their secondary structure includes four short double-helical elements and three loops (D, anti-codon, and T loops). Lineage: Bacteria; Bacillati; Actinomycetota; Actinomycetes; Pseudonocardiales; Pseudonocardiaceae. The record is from Rfam by way of RNAcentral.
GGCGCGUUGGUCCAGCGGUACGGACAUCGGUCCCUCUCACCGAAGACACGGGUUCGAUCCCCGUACGCGUCA